UCGAGAAUUUUUCACAAUGGGCGCAAGCCUGACGCAGCGACGCCGCGUGAAUGAUGAAGGCUUUCGGGUUGUAAAGUUCAGUAAGCAGGGAAGAAUAAGCAAGAGGUAAUAUUUCUUGUGAUGACGGUACCUGCCUAAAGCCCCGGCUAACUACGUGCCAGCAGCCGCGGUAAUACGUAUGGGGCGAGCGUUGUUCGGAAUUAUUGGGCGUAAAGGGCGUCUAGGCGGGGAUUUAAGUUAGAUGUGAAAGCUAUGGGCUCAACCCAUAAACUGCAUCUAAAACUGAAUCUCUUGAGUUCGGGAGAGGAGAGCGGAAUUCCAGGUGUAGCGGUGAAAUGCGUAGAUAUCUGGAAGAACACCAGUGGCGAAGGCGGCUCUCUGGCCUAGAACUGACGCUGAAGCGCGAAAGCGUGGGGAGCGAACA
This 424-nucleotide ribosomal RNA is filed under the name uncultured prokaryote. RNAcentral describes it as "bacterial SSU rRNA". It matches the Rfam family "Bacterial small subunit ribosomal RNA", at positions 355 to 774 of the family's 1533-position model. The record is from RNAcentral.